GAUGAACGCUAGCGGCAGGCUUAAUACAUUCAAGUCGAGGGGCAACAUGGUGUAGCAAUACACUGAUGGCGACCGGCAAACGGGUGCGGAACACGUACAGAACCUUCCUUCGAGCGGGGAAUAGCCCAGAGAAAUUUGGAUUAAUACCCCAUAGUAUAAUGAAGAGGCAUCUCUUUAUUAUUAAAGAUUUAUCACUUGAAGAUGGCUGUGCGGCUGAUUAGGUAGUUGGCGGGGUAACGGCCCACCAAGCCUACGAUCAGUAACUGGUGUGAGAGCACGACCAGUCACACGGGCACUGAGACACGUGCCCGACUCCUACGGGAGGCAGCAGUAAGGAAUAUUGGUCAAUGGACGAAAGUCUGAACCAGCCAUGCCGCGUGGAGGAUGAAGGUCCUCUGGAUUGUAAACUUCUUUUAUAUGGGACGAAAAAAGACUUUUCUAAGUCGUCUGACGGUACCAUAUGAAUAAGCACCGGCUAACUACGUGCCAGCCGCCGCAGUAA
RNAcentral lists this ribosomal RNA (502 nucleotides) under uncultured bacterium. Its description in RNAcentral is "partial 16S ribosomal RNA". It matches the Rfam family "Bacterial small subunit ribosomal RNA", at positions 28 to 523 of the family's 1533-position model. The record is from RNAcentral.